GAUGAACGCUGGCGGCGUGCCUAAUACAUGCAAGUCGAGCGAACAGACGAGGAGCUUGCUCCUCUGACGUUAGCGGCGGACGGGUGAGUAACACGUGGAUAACCUACCUAUAAGACUGGGAUAACUUCGGGAAACCGGAGCUAAUACCGGAUAAUAUAUUGAACCGCAUGGUUCAAUAGUGAAAGACGGUUUUGCUGUCACUUAUAGAUGGAUCCGCGCCGCAUUAGCUAGUUGGUAAGGUAACGGCUUACCAAGGCAACGAUGCGUAGCCGACCUGAGAGGGGGAUCGGCCACACUGGAACUGAGACACGGUCCAGAGUACUACGGGAGGCAGCAGUAGGGAAUCGUCCGCAAUGGGCGAAAGCCUGACGGAGCAACGCCGCGUGAGUGAUGAAGGUCUUCGGAUCGUAAAACUCUGUUAUUAGGGAAGAACAAAUGUGUAAGUAACUAUGCACGUCUUGACGGUACCUAAUCAGAAAGCCACGGCUAACUACGUG
This 497-nucleotide ribosomal RNA is filed under the name uncultured bacterium. Its description in RNAcentral is "partial 16S ribosomal RNA". It matches the Rfam family "Bacterial small subunit ribosomal RNA", at positions 28 to 507 of the family's 1533-position model. The record is from RNAcentral.